Peromyscus eremicus (cactus mouse) is the source of this 1110-nucleotide long non-coding RNA. RefSeq lists it as uncharacterized. The transcript has 4 exons. The record is from RefSeq and is a predicted model, not a curated record. NCBI's taxonomy places the organism in Eukaryota, Metazoa, Chordata, Mammalia, Rodentia, Cricetidae.
AGCUGCAGAUGUCAUGGGAACUGACAUUGCUUCCCUGCUAAUGAGCUUUCCUUACACUAGAAGUCAAGUUGACCUUUGCAGGAGUCUCUGCUGGGAUACAAGGGAAGCCCUUCAGUAUCCCCUUCAUCCAAAGCCAGAGAUCUCUCCCUGAUUGAUUGAACAUUCUCCAGUUCUUUGCCUGUGUAGAACUGAAUCUUUAUCUCCUACUGAAAUUUUAUGUACACAAGCCACAAGACAUUAUAGUCUUAAUGAUGACUGAGAAGGACACUUGUUGAACAACUUCCUGGUAAAGUGUCUACAGGAAACAGGUCAGAAGAAGCUCCAUAAACCUGAGAGCAAAGUAGCACCUUAAAUUCCAGUGAACGUCUUUUUCUGGGAACAGAAGAAUCAGAUCCUAAACUUACAAAAAUGCUGAAAAUGAUGCUUUAGAGCAGGGAAUCGCUUGACUUGGUUGAAAAAAAUUACCACUUCACUUCAUGACUGUUAUCAAAUAUUGUGAGUGUCUCCUGUCCUUUGUCAUUUGGAAAGAGUCACCAGCUAGCUAUUCUUUAUUGAUUAAGCACUUUCAGAUGCUAAAAGCAAAGAAAAUGGAGAGCGAAGUUAGAAAUGAACAUGUUUGAUCCUAAAUAUAGAAUUGUGUUUGCCUGUUCCAAUCUCAGAAUUCUAAUCCUUAUCUGGCUAAUCUCACAACAAAUAAAUGACACCUGUGUCCGUUGGUGUAUUUUAAUAGAUGCACAUAAAUGAUUUUGGUGACUUAUUAGAACUCAUGUAGUAUAUAUGAAGUCCAGCUAUUAAUAUUUUCUUCUCUGUCUUGCUAUUCUUAUUUGGAAGGUUUGUUUGUUUGAGUGGAAGUGAACCAUCCCAAUUUAAAUGAGACAAAAAAAUUUUUUAAAUAAACUCCUGUAACAGAAUAUGUUUGGGAGUUGUAAAAGUUUUUCCAUUGAAAAAAAUCAGAAUUGAGGAGGAUCCUGUUACAUGGUGGGGGCAGACAUCAGAGUCAGCAAAGCUUGCAAAACAGAUUUUUUUUUCUUUUAGCACUUUGAUGGGAGAAGCACUUCAUUUUUAAAAAUUUUAUAAUUAAUUUAAUUUUACAUAUCAGCCAUGUAUUCC